This 76-nucleotide ribozyme is filed under the name Crocodylus porosus (Australian saltwater crocodile). RNAcentral's name for it is "Mammalian CPEB3 ribozyme (ENSCPRG00005004770.1)". It matches the Rfam family "Mammalian CPEB3 ribozyme". Rfam says of the family: The mammalian CPEB3 ribozyme is a self cleaving RNA located in the second intron of the CPEB3 gene which belongs to a family of genes regulating messenger RNA polyadenylation. This ribozyme is highly conserved and found only in mammals. The record is from Rfam by way of RNAcentral. Lineage: Eukaryota; Metazoa; Chordata; Crocodylia; Crocodylidae.
CCAGCAGUUUCAAGGCCAUAGCAGAAGUGCCCACAGUGCGGCCAUGGCAGAUUCUAAUGAAUCUGCAAAUUCUGCU